Molecule: non-coding RNA, 71 nt
Organism: Gemmatimonadetes bacterium 13_2_20CM_2_65_7
Lineage: Bacteria; Pseudomonadati; Gemmatimonadota
Source: Rfam
UGGCCCCUCGUCCAAUGGCAGGACAGCGGACUUUGGAUCCGUCAAUCUAGGUUCGAAUCCUAGGGGGCCAA